Molecule: long non-coding RNA, 217 nt
Filed under: Prunus dulcis (almond)
Lineage: Eukaryota; Viridiplantae; Streptophyta; Magnoliopsida; Rosales; Rosaceae
Description: sRNA ncRNA
Source: RNAcentral
AUGGUUGAGUUCCAACCACUGUGUGUUAAGAAUCCUCCAAUUGAUGGGUGGCUAAGGACUUGCUCUUGUGGGCACCAGCUUGCUACCAAACCUCUUCCCUUAGUUUCAGCUACAAACUCAGGUGGCAAAAUGGCCGAUUCACCAACUAACAGAUCAGGUCUAACUACCCAGAAGAAGGGAAGCUUGCUAUUUGCAAGUCCCCAACAAAACUCAAUAA